CUGACAUCCAAUUGUUGGAGUUACAUAUUUUCAAGUUCAUAGGGUAAAUGUCAGGCGGAUGUUUUUGACGUAUCCAAAAACAAAAUUAAAACUCGCAGGACCCCUGAACUAUAAUACACGAAUACACGCGCGGUCGGCACGUGAGAAACGGAAAUAAACUGUCUGCGUUUUCUCCCACCAAGGCGGGCUCUGUUAUUCACGCGAGAACGAGAAUGCGCGAGAAUGCCUGGUGCGGAGAAGAAAAGCCGCGCGUCGUCUCUUGGUGUCGCGCGCGAGUGAUCGUCCUCCGGCGUCGUCGUUAACUUCUCCUCCGUCGGCGUGUUGUAUUUUGUACACACCAACGUAUGGUGUCAUGCACGGCCCGGAUAGGCCCGUGUCCACUGUGCUGCGCGUUCCGCUACCUUUCGCCAGCGCUGCCGCUACGUAGACGGAGGCGCCGCGGGGUGGUGCACGCGGGACGAGGACUAUGAGCGCGUUGUCGUCGACGACCUGUCGUGUAACGUCUGUGACGACUGCCGUCUGUAGGAUCGCGGCUCUGAAUCGUCGCCACCGCGGACGCGAGGCCACGAGAAUGACUUAAGCGUCCAGCUUGUCACUGCCGGAAUCGUAACGCGGACGAUAAGGAACUGUCCUCGGGACACGAUGCAGAGUCUACGUCGAAUGUGCUGGCUGUUUUGGGUGGGUCUACCGAUGCUCGCAGCCUACCCUGUACCUUCGCCCCUCGCCGCUGAUUCAGAAUAUGCACGUACUUCCUGGCAGUGGGAACAUUAUUGGAUGCGUUAUGCGAUUGCUCUGUCGAGCGUUACUGCCACAGCAUUAACUUUGGCUGGGUGUCUUUGUUGCCAAAGGCACAGAAGACCUAAAGGAUUCCAGGACAAAGCAGAAAAAUGCAAUCAGGAAUUCAAAGAUGGAAGCAGUACGGGACAUGAAAAUGCAUUUGAUCAGUCCGUCGAAGGAUUGGAAUUGGACGCCUCCAGGACGUUGGCUGCUUCUGAAAGAAUUCAAUUUGAACCCUUACCAGUGGAUUCAAUCGUAUCUGGAACUAAAAGUACUCCAAAACAUAAAGCGAUACCGUUGUCAGCGCCGCGUAUCGAGGAUCAAGAUACGGAUCGAUCUAUUCUACAGGAGCCAUGUAGCGAAUGGUUCAACUCCGACGAGCUUUACGUUCCUAGAGAGAAACUUAAAUACCUUAGAGAAAUAGGUCACGGAUGGUUCGGAAAAGUUGUUGAAGGUCGGGCGGAUUUGGAACAGUCGAAAGGCAUAUCGAAAUCGGGUGGCGUGGUAGUGAGAAUUCUUACCGAAGAGGCUACUACCAGAGAAAAGGCUUGGUUUCUCGGCGAGGCUACGCCAUACUUGAAGCUACGCCACCAAAAUGUCUUGGCUCUACUUGGUUUCUGCCUGGAAACCGAUCCAUAUCUUCUACUGUUUGAGUCUUGUCCAGCUGGCGAUCUAAAAGGUUUCUUGCUCUCAAAUCGUGAUAGUAAGUCGAGAGAAACGCUCAUUAAGGAAAACGUUCCGAUACGAAUUGCAAUAGAAAUCGCAUCUGGUUUGAAGCACAUGCACAAUCAUGGCUUUGCGCAUACAGAUCUCUCGGCAAGAAACUGUCUGAUUGCUCCAGACUUAUCAGCCAAGUUAGGUGAUUAUGGUACCGGUGUCGAGAAAUAUCCUGAUGACUACUAUAUAGUAGGAGAUCGAGCCUUACCAAUUAGAUGGUCCGCGCCGGAAAGUUUGAACUGUACGGACACCACCAUCGAAACGCAAGAAAUCACGUUACAGGCCAAUAUGUGGACCUAUGCUGUUCUGCUCUGGGAGAUUGUCAGUUGGGCAGAGAGACCUUACAACGAUAUGAACGACGAACAGGUCAUUCAGAUGAUUCUAUCUCUAAAAAAGCAAUUUUUGCCUAACGGUACGCGAUUGCUACAAAAUUAUCUUACUAAUUGUCCGCCAAAUAUAUUACAAAUGAUUCGCUUGUGUUUCAAUAUCAAUGCGAAAGACAGACCUUCCUUAGACGACGUGAAGCAAAUUCUUCUUAAUGAACAUUCGGCGCACAUGGAUUUCGAGCAACGGUGGGAGAGUCUACGCGCAAAUAGCAAACAGCACGUACGCAGUGCUAGCUUGCAAGAUCUACGUGGUAGUAUUGAUUCCGACUACUGGACUCAUAUAGUGGAUGACGCGCAAACGACGGACUCACUACAGUCCUCGUUUCGUCUUGGACCUGAUGAACAAGUGAAAAAUAUCCCUAAAAUGAAAACUACCACGAUAUUUCAUGAGUCUGGUUCUGAAACCGAAGAGGAGAGCUGGAAAGGCCGAAUCGAGAAGGGCGUUUAUACUGAAAAGGUUAAACAAAAGUCCAAAUCGGUGACAGAUCUUAUGGUGCUUGUACAUAUCGAUCCUGAUUCGGAUGCUGAAUGGUCACUGGGAGCGCAAACGUCGGAGAAGAACAUCAAGAAAAAGGUACCCGUGACUGGUAGCGACAGCGACCUUAGGCAUACCGUGCCUGCGGACGAGUUUGAUGAAACGUUGAAGAAGUUAAGAGAUCCUUUACCGAUCAAUACUACCAACAAAGUCCGAUCUUUGGAAAAUUUGGAACGGCCGAAGCUCUUGACUUUGACUAUAGAUCAGGGCCAGACACCGAUCUUACGUCUCUCCUUGGACAGCACGGAAAAAACUCCGGAAAACAACGAUGUGCAAUUUAAUACGAGUACAGAUAAUAUACAACGCGACGGUGAGAAACACGUAUUAAGACUUUUAUCAAAGGGUGAUCCAGAUCUCCCUCUUCUUCGCUAUGUACCUGACCAAAUGUCCUCCGUUGAAGGAGUAGAUGAAAAAAGGGACGAUCACGAAAAGCACAAUGUACCUCUUGUAAGUAAGGAGGAUAACAAUGAUAUUUCUAAUCGUUUUGUUUCGAAUAAUACCGAGACCAAUAUGAUAGACGUUUUACUUUGGAAUCACGCGUUAGAUUCCGCUUUAGAGCACAAAGUACCAGGCUUCUCGGAUGAAGGGGAAUUCAACGAGUAUAUAGACGCAUCGACUGAGCAAAGUAACGUUAGUGUACCAGAAUUGACUGUAACCACCAGGUCUACACCAGACACACCACCGUUUUGUAACGCUUAUUCGAUUUAUACUGCCGAUGAUAGCUUUUCUAGGAUAGAGAACGCGGAAAUAGAACGAAAACCAUUGCCAAAUGACGAAGAAGAGGAAAGAAAACAGUUAUCUACACCAGAUGAUGAACAGAGCUCCGAUUCCGGUUUUCGGGACAAAGAGUCUUGCGAGGAAGAGGAAGCAAUUUGUUCAGCAUCCGGCAACCCCUUGUCUUCAGUCAACAGUAAUGCGGUUUCCAGAUCAUCAUAUUCCGAAGAAGAGCCAUUCCAAAUUCUAUUUGAGUUAGAUACUAUCCUAGACGCAGAAUAUUACGCCACGCCUGCUGGCCCUGAAUGUAUAACGGAACGUGCAAUUUCCACACCUGACGAGAAGGACGUAUCGCCUUCGAAACAGAAUACUUUUGACUUACAUGAUGCCUCUGUUAAUGUUGACGUUACCAAUUCCGAUCCAAAUACGAAGAAAAGUAGUCCGAAUCGAGUGAAAGUAACACAUGAAUAUGAAGUUUUAGAAGACAUUGAGACAGAAAAAAAAGAAACAACUCCUGAAAAAAUGCAGAAAUUUAAGGCCAAAAGUGAUAUACAUCAAUCGCGAGAUUCAGAAACGGAGACACGCGUUUUAAAAUUGGACACCUUUAAUAUCCAGCGAGAUGAACAGUGCUCGCAGGGCGAUUGCGAGAAUGAGGAUGAGGAUAGUUCGACGAUGAGCUUACGUAGCGACAAUUCGUACGUGUCGUUUGGUAUGGAAGAAGAAUUCGUAACGGCGAUUCGUAACGAACUCAGGGAAAAAUUGCCUCAGGCUCAGAUGCAGAUCGUUGAAACCUUGGAAGUACACGACGACGAAAAUCCUUCCAUCUCUGACGACGCGUACGGCAAACAGUGGGAUGAUGAAGAUUUAUCCAAUCAAGUUAGCGGCGGUGUAGAUAUCUCAAUCAGGUAUAAUGUGUAUGGGACACCACUUAGUCCUAUUCUGGAAGAACGAGAAAGCACAUCUGAAUCUUUAAUGUCGAACUCUAGAGAAACAUCCGUUGCUUCGAAAGAAUCGAUGCCAUCCGAAGAUGUGCUAAUGGUGGACACUCGUACGAAUGAAAUGAUAUUAUUGGAAGGACGAUUACAAGAUGAAGAUCGAGAUACGACGAAUGGCGAUCUGUCUGAAGAGGAGAAUUCUUCACUUGUUCACUUGUUUACUUGUUCAGUAACGCAUCCAUUAGAAGAAAAGCCGCAUAUUGUAAAGACAAGCGGAGGCGCGCCAUUACCGAGCCCUGAGGAAGAAUCCAAAUGGCAGCAGUUACCAUCGUCUUUUCCAUUACCUCUACCAAUACAAGAUGAUUUAAUGUCGACGAGUUUUGUUACUAAACACGAAUGUAGUCAAGAUGAUGACGAAGAGGAAGAAGAAGAAGAGGAGGAAGAGGAGGUGGAAGAGGAAGAAGACGAAGAUGGAGAAGAAGAUGAAGAUAAUAGUUCUAGUUCUGGUGAAUUUGUAUGGAAGAGAUACAAUGAGCCACAUAUCGAACAGAUACGAAUCAGAAGUACUGUGAAUAAUGAUGGAGCGAAUACACCGACGAGUACCGAAUUAGAAGAGGAAUUGGCGGUCGAAGACGAAGAGGAAGAAGAAGAAUUUACACCUUCGGCCUGGAAUGCUGCUUUAGCGCCACAUCGAUCGGCACUGAGGUCUCCGGACAAAACGUUAAAAUCAGGGGAUGAGUUGGUAGGAUCAGAAGAAGAGCGUAUGGUUCAAGAAGCAACGCUAUCAGUGCGUGUACGAGUAUCCGAAGGAAACGUUACCUGCGGACAAUCAAGCGGAUCCUAUUACCAACUCGGAACCAACGUCAUAUUCUGAUUGGGAAGAAAUGAUGAAUGAACCACGAUUAGAUUUAUAUCCUUUAGAUUAUGACGAUGCCAAUCAUGUUGGAAACGAAGAAUUUUUUGUGACUAGCUCAAAUCGACCGUUUCAAUUUCAAACUGGCGAAAGUAAGUACGU
This 5079-nucleotide unclassified non-coding RNA is filed under the name Monomorium pharaonis (pharaoh ant). RNAcentral's name for it is "uncharacterized LOC105830562, transcript variant X3". Lineage: Eukaryota; Metazoa; Arthropoda; Insecta; Hymenoptera; Formicidae. The record is from RNAcentral.